RNAcentral lists this ribosomal RNA (396 nucleotides) under uncultured bacterium. RNAcentral's name for it is "partial 16S ribosomal RNA". It matches the Rfam family "Bacterial small subunit ribosomal RNA", at positions 523 to 918 of the family's 1533-position model. The record is from RNAcentral.
AUACGAAGGGUGCAAGCGUUAAUCGGAAUUACUGGGCGUAAAGCGCGCGUAGGUGGUUUUGUAAGUUGGAGGUGUAAGCCCCGGGCUCAACCUGGGAAUUGCCUCCAAAACUGCAUGACCAGAGUACGGUAGAGGGUAGUGGAAUUUCCUGUGUAGCGGUGAAAUGCGUAGAUAUAGGAAGGAACACCAGUGGCGAAGGCGACUACCGGGACUGAUACUGACCCUGAGGUGCGAAAGCGUGGGGAGCAAACAGGAUUAGAUCCCCUGGUAGUCCACGCCGUAAACGAUGUCAACUAGCCGUUGGGAUCCUUGAGAUCUUAGUGGCGCAGCUAACGCAUUAAGUUGACCGCCUGGGGAGUACGGCCGCAAGGUUAAAACUCAAAUGAAUUGACGGGG